GGUUAAGCGACUAAGCGUACACGGUGGAUGCCCUGGCAGUCAGAGGCGAUGAAGGGCGUGCUAAUCUGCGAUAAGCGCCGGUAAGGUGAUAUGAACCGUUAUAACCGGCGAUACCCGAAUGGGGAAACCCAGUGUGAUUCGUCACACUAUCAUUAACUGAAUCCAUAGGUUAAUGAGGCGAACCGGGGGAACUGAAACAUCUAAGUACCCCGAGGAAAAGAAAUCAACCGAGAUUCCCCCAGUAGCGGCGAGCGAACGGGGAGGAGCCCAGAGCCUGAAUCAGCAUGUGUGUUAGUGGAAGCGUCUGGAAAGGCGCGCGAUACAGGGUGACAGCCCCGUACACAAAAGCGCAUAUGCUGUGAGCUCGAUGAGUAGGGCGGGACACGUGGUAUCCUGUCUGAAUAUGGGGGGACCAUCCUCCAAGGCUAAAUACUCCUGACUGACCGAUAGUGAACCAGUACCGUGAGGGAAAGGCGAAAAGAACCCCGGCGAGGGGAGUGAAAAAGAACCUGAAACCGUGUACGUACAAGCAGUGGGAGCCCCACCACUAAGCCAGUGGUGAACUCCACAUACGCAUCCUUUGCUGAGGAUACGGUUAACGGAGCGAAAGCGACGUUCAACCUCAAAAGAAGCAGAGGGGGCUUAGUGGUGGGGUGACUGCGUACCUUUUGUAUAAUGGGUCAGCGACUUAUAUUCUGUAGCAAGGUUAACCGAAUAGGGGAGCCGGAGGGAAACCGAGUCUUAAUUGGGCGUUAAGUUGCAGGGUAUAGACCCGAAACCCGGUGAUCUAGCCAUGGGCAGGUUGAAGGUUGGGUAACACUAACUGGAGGACCGAACCGACUAAUGUUGAAAAAUUAGCGGAUGACCUGUGGCUGGGGGUGAAAGGCCAAUCAAACCGGGAGAUAGCUGGUUCUCCCCGAAAGCUAUUUAGGUAGCGCCUCGUGAAUUCAUCUCCGGGGGUAGAGCACUGUUUCGGCUAGGGGGCCAUCCCGGCUUACCAACCCGAUGCAAACUGCGAAUACCGGAGAAUGUUAUCACGGGAGACACACGGCGGGUGCUAACGUCCGUCGUGAAGAGGGAAACAACCCAGACCGCCAGCUAAGGUCCCAAAGUCAUGGUUAAGUGGGAAACGAUGUGGGAAGGCCCAGACAGCCAGGAUGUUGGCUUAGAAGCAGCCAUCAUUUAAAGAAAGCGUAAUAGCUCACUGGUCGAGUCGGCCUGCGCGGAAGAUGUAACGGGGCUAAACCAUGCACCGAAGCUGCGGCAGCGACGCUGAUGCGUUGUUGGGUAGGGGAGCGUUCUGUAAGCCUGUGAAGGUGGCCUGUGAGGGUUGCUGGAGGUAUCAGAAGUGCGAAUGCUGACAUAAGUAACGAUAAAGCGGGUGAAAAGCCCGCUCGCCGGAAGACCAAGGGUUCCUGUCCAACGUUAAUCGGGGCAGGGUGAGUCGACCCCUAAGGCGAGGCCGAAAGGCGUAGUCGAUGGGAAACGGGUUAAUAUUCCCGUACUUGGUGUUACUGCGAAGGGGGGACGGAGAAGGCUAUGUUGGCCGGGCGACGGUUGUCCCGGUUUAAGCGUGUAGGCUGGUUUUCCAGGCAAAUCCGGAAAAUCAAGGCUGAGGCGUGAUGACGAGGCACUACGGUGCUGAAGCAACAAAUGCCCUGCUUCCAGGAAAAGCCUCUAAGCAUCAGGUAACAUCAAAUCGUACCCCAAACCGACACAGGUGGUCAGGUAGAGAAUACCAAGGCGCUUGAGAGAACUCGGGUGAAGGAACUAGGCAAAAUGGUGCCGUAACUUCGGGAGAAGGCACGCUGACAUGUAGGUGAAGUGAUUUACUCAUGGAGCUGAAGUCAGUCGAAGAUACCAGCUGGCUGCAACUGUUUAUUAAAAACACAGCACUGUGCAAACACGAAAGUGGACGUAUACGGUGUGACGCCUGCCCGGUGCCGGAAGGUUAAUUGAUGGGGUCAGCGCAAGCGAAGCUCCUGAUCGAAGCCCCGGUAAACGGCGGCCGUAACUAUAACGGUCCUAAGGUAGCGAAAUUCCUUGUCGGGUAAGUUCCGACCUGCACGAAUGGCGUAAUGAUGGCCAGGCUGUCUCCACCCGAGACUCAGUGAAAUUGAACUCGCUGUGAAGAUGCAGUGUACCCGCGGCAAGACGGAAAGACCCCGUGAACCUUUACUAUAGCUUGACACUGAACAUUGAGCCUUGAUGUGUAGGAUAGGUGGGAGGCUUUGAAGUGUGGACGCCAGUCUGCAUGGAGCCGACCUUGAAAUACCACCCUUUAAUGUUUGAUGUUCUAACGUGGACCCGUAAUCCGGGUUGCGGACAGUGUCUGGUGGGUAGUUUGACUGGGGCGGUCUCCUCCUAAAGAGUAACGGAGGAGCACGAAGGUUGGCUAAUCCUGGUCGGACAUCAGGAGGUUAGUGCAAUGGCAUAAGCCAGCUUGACUGCGAGCGUGACGGCGCGAGCAGGUGCGAAAGCAGGUCAUAGUGAUCCGGUGGUUCUGAAUGGAAGGGCCAUCGCUCAACGGAUAAAAGGUACUCCGGGGAUAACAGGCUGAUACCGCCCAAGAGUUCAUAUCGACGGCGGUGUUUGGCACCUCGAUGUCGGCUCAUCACAUCCUGGGGCUGAAGUAGGUCCCAAGGGUAUGGCUGUUCGCCAUUUAAAGUGGUACGCGAGCUGGGUUUAGAACGUCGUGAGACAGUUCGGUCCCUAUCUGCCGUGGGCGCUGGAGAACUGAGGGGGGCUGCUCCUAGUACGAGAGGACCGGAGUGGACGCAUCACUGGUGUUCGGGUUGUCAUGCCAAUGGCACUGCCCGGUAGCUAAAUGCGGAAGAGAUAAGUGCUGAAAGCAUCUAAGCACGAAACUUGCCCCGAGAUGAGUUCUCCCUGAGACUUAGAGUCUCCUGAAGGAACGUUGAAGACGACGACGUUGAUAGGCCGGGUGUGUAAGCGCAGCGAUGCGUUGAGCUAACCGGUACUAAUGAACCGUGAGGCUUAACCUU
RNAcentral lists this ribosomal RNA (3005 nucleotides) under Salmonella enterica subsp. enterica serovar Senftenberg. RNAcentral's name for it is "23S ribosomal RNA". It matches the Rfam family "Bacterial large subunit ribosomal RNA". The record is from RNAcentral. Lineage: Bacteria; Pseudomonadati; Pseudomonadota; Gammaproteobacteria; Enterobacterales; Enterobacteriaceae.